UUGGGGCGGGCCGGAUUAGAUACCCUGGUAGUCCACGCCGUAAACGAUGUCAACUAGCCGUUGGGAGCCUUGAGCUCUUAGUGGCGCAGCUAACGCAUUAAGUUGACCGCCUGGGGAGUACGGCCGCAAGGUUAAAACUCAAAUGAAUUGACGGGGGCCCGCACAAGCGGUGGAGCAUGUGGUUUAAUUCGAAGCAACGCGAAGAACCUUACCAGGCCUUGACAUCCAAUGAACUUUCCAGAGAUGGAGUGGUGCCUUCGGGAGCAUUGAGACAGGUGCUGCAUGGCUGUCGUCAGCUCCKGUCUUGCCAGGUUGG
Molecule: ribosomal RNA, 316 nt
Filed under: Pseudomonas sp.
Lineage: Bacteria; Pseudomonadati; Pseudomonadota; Gammaproteobacteria; Pseudomonadales; Pseudomonadaceae
Description: bacterial SSU rRNA
Source: RNAcentral